CAAGAUGUAGCUUAUAUAAAGCUAUUUAUUUACAUUAAAUUGAAAAUUAUUUUAUUCUUCUUGA
This 64-nucleotide transfer RNA is filed under the name Singapora shinshana. RNAcentral describes it as "tRNA-Val". Lineage: Eukaryota; Metazoa; Arthropoda; Insecta; Hemiptera; Cicadellidae. The record is from RNAcentral.